RNAcentral lists this small nuclear RNA (111 nucleotides) under Thalassiosira antarctica. RNAcentral's name for it is "partial Dictyostelium signal recognition particle". The record is from RNAcentral. Lineage: Eukaryota; Bacillariophyta; Thalassiosirophyceae; Thalassiosirales; Thalassiosiraceae.
CGGAAACAUCCUCCCAAAACGAAGAACGGGACGGCAAGGUCUCCCAACCAUGGCAAAAGCUCGAACUCCCCUACGUACCAAGCUGCACCCACACUGUCUUCAUAACCUGCG